Molecule: long non-coding RNA, 525 nt
Filed under: Monodelphis domestica (gray short-tailed opossum)
Lineage: Eukaryota; Metazoa; Chordata; Mammalia; Didelphimorphia; Didelphidae
Description: lncRNA (ENSMODG00000030244.2)
Source: RNAcentral
GGCUACAUGUAGUCUACAGAUAGGUCUUUCUCAGCAAAAAGGUUCUGAGCUUCAGAUGCUGAUCCAAGGAUGUUCAGAGGAAUCAGAUAGAGAAACAAGAGAAAGCUUGGAGGAUCUUGGACUAGUACUUCACCUUGGAGAUACAACUUGGGACUUUGACCUGGGACUCUGGAUGGUGGACUUCUUCUGGGUCCUUGAGAACUGCAGGCAUCCGAAAUUUCAUCACAACCUCCUGAGGAGCUUCUCUGAAUUUAGCUCAUCUGGAUUCCAAGACAACAGACCUGUAGAUCAUUGCCAAGGUCAUCUUUGGAACUUCUCUAGCUUGAUGGAGACUUCCAAAGUUUGCCCUGUCUCAGAAAAACCUUCAAGAAUCCAUGGCCACUUCAACCCCCCCAAUAAGGUUUUUGGGGAAGAUAUUAAUGGAAAAUAAUUUAAAGGGUAUUCUAAAGUGUUAUGUGUUAUUAUUGUGAUUGACCAUAAUUAUCAACAUUAAACCAGAUUUGUCUAACUUCUGUAUCUGUUUGA